This 253-nucleotide ribosomal RNA is filed under the name uncultured bacterium. RNAcentral describes it as "partial 16S ribosomal RNA". It matches the Rfam family "Bacterial small subunit ribosomal RNA", at positions 524 to 776 of the family's 1533-position model. The record is from RNAcentral.
UACGGAGGAUGCAAGCGUUAUCCGGAAUGAUUGGGCGUAAAGCGUCCGCAGGUGGCACUUCAAGUCUGCUGUUAAAUACUAGGGCUUAACCCUGGAGCGGCAGUGGAAACUGAAGAGCUAGAGUUCGGUAGGGGUAGAGGGAAUUCCCAGUGUAGCGGUGAAAUGCGUAGAGAUUGGGAAGAACACCGGUGGCGAAAGCGCUCUGCUGGGCCGAAACUGACACUGAGAGACGAAAGCUAGGGGAGCGAAAGGG